GACGAACGCUGGCGGCGUGCUUAACACAUGCAAGUCGAACGAAAAGACGGAAAGAGCUUGUCUUUUCAGAAUUGAGUGGCAAACGGGUGAGUAACACGUAAACAACCUGCUUCAGGAUGGGGACAACAGACGGAAACGACUGCUAAUACCGAAUAAGUUCCAAGAGCCGCAUGGCCCAUGGAAGAAAAGGUGGCCUCUACCUGUAAGCUAUCGCCUGAAGAGGGGUUUGCGUCUGAUUAGCUGGUUGGAGGGGUAACGGCCCACCAAGGCGACGAUCAGUAGCCGGUCUGAGAGGAUGAACGGCCACACUGGAACUGAGACACGGUCCAGACUCCUACGGGAGGCAGCAGUGGGGAAUCUUCCGCAAUGGGCGAAAGCCUGACGGAGCAACGCCGCGUGAGUGAUGACGGCUUCGGGUUGUAAAACUCUGUGAUCCGGGACGAAAGGGCGGACUGUGAAAAACAAACUGCAUUGACGGUACCGGAAAAGCAAGCCACGGCUAA
RNAcentral lists this ribosomal RNA (503 nucleotides) under Dialister invisus. RNAcentral describes it as "bacterial SSU rRNA". It matches the Rfam family "Bacterial small subunit ribosomal RNA", at positions 28 to 500 of the family's 1533-position model. The record is from RNAcentral. Lineage: Bacteria; Bacillati; Bacillota; Negativicutes; Veillonellales; Veillonellaceae.